ACAAGCGGUGGAGCAUGUGGUUUAAUUCGAAGCAACGCGAAGAACCUUACCAGGUCUUGACAUCCCCCUGACCGGUCCGUAACGGGACCUUUCCUUCGGGACAGGGGAGACAGGUGGUGCAUGGUUGUCGUCAGCUCGUGUCGUGAGAUGUUGGGUUAAGUCCCGCAACGAGCGCAACCCUUAUUCUUAGUAGCCAGCGGUUCGGCCGGGCACCCUAGGGAGACUGCCAGGGAUAACCUGGAGGAAGGCGGGGAUGACGUCAAAUCAUCAUGCCCCUUAUGAUCUGGGCUACACACGUGCUACAAUGGUGACUACAAAGGGAAGCGAAGCUGUGAAGAGGAGCAAAUCCCAAAAAGGUCAUCUCAGUUCGGAUUGUAGUCUGCAACUCGACUACAUGAAGCUGGAAUCGCUAGUAAUCGCGAAUCAGAAUGUCGCGGUGAAUACGUUCCCGGGUCUUGUACACACCGCCCGUCACACCAUGGGAGUUGGAAAUGCCCGAAGUCUGUGACCC
This 511-nucleotide ribosomal RNA is filed under the name uncultured Clostridium sp. Its description in RNAcentral is "bacterial SSU rRNA". It matches the Rfam family "Bacterial small subunit ribosomal RNA", at positions 925 to 1436 of the family's 1533-position model. Lineage: Bacteria; Bacillati; Bacillota; Clostridia; Eubacteriales; Clostridiaceae. The record is from RNAcentral.